AGUAAUGUCUGGGAAACUGCCUGAUGGAGGGGGAUAACUACUGGAAACGGUAGCUAAUACCGCAUAACGUCGCAAGACCAAAAAGGGGGACCUUCGGGCCUCUUGCCAUCGGACGUGCCCAGAUGGGAUUAGCUAGUAGGUGGGGUAACGGCUCACCUAGGCGACGAUCCCUAGCUGGUCUGAGAGGAUGACCAGCCACACUGGAACUGAGACACGGUCCAGACUCCUACGGGAGGCAGCAGUGGGGAAUAUUGCACAAUGGGCGCAAGCCUGAUGCAGCCAUGCCGCGUGUAUGAAGAAGGCCUUCGGGUUGUAAAGUACUUUCAGCGGGGAGGAAGGGAGUAAAGUUAAUACCUUUGCUCAUUGACGUUACCCGCAGAAGAGGCACCGGCUAACUCCGUGCCAGCAGCCGCGGUAAUACGGAGGGUGCAAGCGUUAAUCGGAAUUACUGGGCGUAAAGCGCACGCAGGCGGUUUGUUAAGUCAGAUGUGAAUCCCCGGGCUCAACCUGGGAACUGCAUCUGAUACUGGCAAGCUUGAGUCUCGUAGAGGGGGGUAGAAUUCCAGGUGUAGCGGUGAAAUGCGUCGAGAUCUGGAGGAGUACC
RNAcentral lists this ribosomal RNA (604 nucleotides) under uncultured Pseudomonadota bacterium. RNAcentral describes it as "bacterial SSU rRNA". It matches the Rfam family "Bacterial small subunit ribosomal RNA", at positions 109 to 710 of the family's 1533-position model. Lineage: Bacteria; Pseudomonadati; Pseudomonadota. The record is from RNAcentral.